RNAcentral lists this ribosomal RNA (468 nucleotides) under uncultured bacterium. RNAcentral describes it as "partial 16S ribosomal RNA". It matches the Rfam family "Bacterial small subunit ribosomal RNA", at positions 28 to 507 of the family's 1533-position model. The record is from RNAcentral.
GACGAACGCUGGCGGCGUGCUUAACACAUGCAAGUCGAACGGAAAGGCCCUGCUUUUGUGGGGUGCUCGAGUGGAGAACGGGUGAGUAACACGUGAGUAACCUGCCCUUGACUUUGGGAUAACUUCAGGAAACUGGGGCUAAUACCGGAUAGGAGCUCCUGCUGCAUGGUGGGGGUUGGAAAGUUUCGGCGGUUGGGGAUGGACUGGCGGCUUAUCAGCUUGUUGGUGGGGUAGUGGCUUACCAAGGCUUUGACGGGUAGCCGGCCUGAGAGGGUGACCGGCCACAUUGGGACUGAGAUACGGCCCAGACUCCUAUGGGAGGCAGCAGUGGGGAAUAUUGCACUAUGGGCGGAAGCCUGAUGCAGCAACGCCGCGUGCGGGAUGACGGCCUUCGGGUUGUAAACCGCUUUCGCCUGUGACGAAGCGUGAGUGACGGUAAUGGGUAAAGAAGCACCGGCUAACUACGUG